UACAGAGGUGGCAAGCGUCGUUCGGAAUUACUGGGCGUAAAGGGCGCGUAGGCGGCCCGUCAAGUCCCGUGUGAAAGCCCCCGGCUCAACCGGGGAACGGCGCGGGAAACUAGCAGGCUUGAGUUCGGGAGAGGGAAGCGGAAUUCCGGGUGUAGCGGUGAAAUGCGCAGAUAUCCGGAGGAACACCGGUGGCGAAGGCGGCUUCCUGGACCGACACUGACGCUGAGGCGCGAAAGCUAGGGGAGCAAACGGG
This 253-nucleotide ribosomal RNA is filed under the name uncultured bacterium. RNAcentral describes it as "partial 16S ribosomal RNA". It matches the Rfam family "Bacterial small subunit ribosomal RNA", at positions 524 to 776 of the family's 1533-position model. The record is from RNAcentral.